AAGUCGUAACAAGGUUUCCGUAGGUGAACCUGCGGAAGGAUCAUUAAUGAAAGAUAAUUUUUUGGGGUUUUCCCUGAAAAAUAAUUCACCCUUUGUGCAUUGUUAUUAGAUAUACUUUGGUUAGAGCUUUGAUUUCAUUAUUGGAAUCAACUUCUCGCUGACUCUAUCCUUUCUGAGGACAGUUGGCUAUGAAGCGGCCUACCAAGGUUUUUUUUAUCAAACUCUUGUAUUUUGUCUGACCUAAAAACAAAUAAUUAAAUCAUAACUUUCAACAACGGAUCUCUUGGCUCUC
This 292-nucleotide unclassified non-coding RNA is filed under the name fungal sp. Its description in RNAcentral is "partial internal transcribed spacer region". The stretch from base 1 to 46 matches the Rfam family "Eukaryotic small subunit ribosomal RNA", at positions 1786 to 1831 of the family's 1831-position model. Lineage: Eukaryota; Fungi. The record is from RNAcentral.